CGGCGGACGGGUGAGUAACGCGUAGGAAUCUACCCAGUAGAGGGGGAUAGCCCGAGGAAACUCGGAUUAAUACCGCAUACGCCCUAAGGGGGAAAGCAGGGGAUCUUCGGACCUUGCGCUAUUGGAUGAGCCUGCGUUGGAUUAGCUUGUUGGUGGGGUAAAGGCCCACCAAGGCGACGAUCCAUAGCUGGUCUGAGAGGAUGAUCAGCCACACUGGAACUGAGACACGGUCCAG
Molecule: ribosomal RNA, 235 nt
Filed under: uncultured bacterium
Lineage: Bacteria
Description: partial 16S ribosomal RNA
Rfam family: Bacterial small subunit ribosomal RNA
Source: RNAcentral